AGGUAAAUUUGAAGAGUUGGGGAAGAAGGCUGGGGAGAUGGUUCAAUCAGUAACGUACUUGUCUCGUAAGGAUGCAGACCUGAGUUUGAUCCUCAGAACUAAUGUUAAAAAAUUGGACGCGGAAAAGUAUGCCUCUAGUCCCAGAACUUGGAAAGCAGAGAUAGUGGGUUCCUGGCUCACUAGCCAACCAGCCUAGCUGAAUUGUGAAACAAGGAGUGACAGCACAAAGCAGAGCCAACGCCUUUAUAAGGGCCGCCACAAGUGCUCAGGGGACACCAUCCUUGGCCUUCAUGCACACUAAGUCUUAGCUCAGCACAAGCUUUUGGUGCCACUCUGCCCUCUGGCAGACUCCCUGAAGAACUGGACACGGCCCUGUUAACUUGUCUCCUAUGCUGCACUGGGAAGGCCCUGAGUGGAAUGCUGAUGUUCUUUGGGCCGUUGUCUGUGUCCAUGAAGAGGGAGAACAAUGUGCUGAAAUCUCCAAAGACUCGGGUGAGGCUCCUUCAGUGACAGGAGCUUCAGUACUCGCCUGUCUCCCCGUGAUGGUUCAUGAAUCACCUGUUCCCAAUUCUUUAUUAACAUCAUCUUGAUAAGACACCUGGCAGAGCUCAAGACACACAGAGGUUUAGAGGGUGAGGGCCAGACUGUGUAAUGGUUCUAGAAUCCGCUCCUGUCACAGUAUUCGGCCUCCUCAGAGUUAAGGGCAGCUACCACAGAACUGAGUCUCCCCC
Molecule: long non-coding RNA, 731 nt
Filed under: Mus musculus (house mouse)
Lineage: Eukaryota; Metazoa; Chordata; Mammalia; Rodentia; Muridae
Description: predicted gene, 47133
Source: RNAcentral